This 85-nucleotide transfer RNA is filed under the name Methanobrevibacter sp. RNAcentral's name for it is "tRNA-Ser". It matches the Rfam family "tRNA". Rfam says of the family: Transfer RNA (tRNA) molecules are approximately 80 nucleotides in length. Their secondary structure includes four short double-helical elements and three loops (D, anti-codon, and T loops). The record is from RNAcentral. Lineage: Archaea; Methanobacteriati; Methanobacteriota; Methanobacteria; Methanobacteriales; Methanobacteriaceae. RNAcentral also lists the same sequence under 1 other name.
GUCGGGAUGGCCCAGCCUGGUACGGCGUCGGACUGCUAAUCCGAUGAUCCCUUGGAUCACCCGGGUUCAAAUCCCGGUCCCGGCG